UCCGUGCAAACCUGCUUUCCAAGGGCACAGUAAUGGACACUUCCUGCUAUACCAUUACCUCAGCCAUUCUGCACAUGAAAAAGGAUAAUAGCACUUGGAGUGUCUGUGCAUCUGGACUUGCAGUACUGGUCCGCUUUCACCUUCCUGGGGAAGAGAUGGACCUGGACGCCUCCGGGGUCUACUGAAGCACUUACGGGCAGGCGGUGGUGUGCCACCUUGUAGGGAGCACUAUUUAUGGCUCCUGUCUUAGGUUUUCCAGACUACAGAGGUGGUCUGCACAGACUGCAGAGGACUGGUGGUGACCAUCUACAGCGACUCUCGCUAUGCCUUUCUGGUGUGUCAUGAACACGGGACUUUGUAGAAGCAGAGAGGGUUUUUGACUAGCACUGGAAAACCGAUUUGACGCCAUCAGCUAGUUUAAAAAUUGCUGGAGGCUGUGUGGUGCUCACAGGGGGGAGUGUGGGAGAAGAGUCUAGUAUUUUCCCACAAAGACGUCUGACAACCUAAUAUAGAGCCUCUUCUAUGCCAAGGUGCCGAGCAGUGCACCUAGGGGCAGCCCCCACCCCAAACAUACAGCAGACCAUCUCUCAGGAGUAUUCCUAUUACUUAGCUACACCUGAACAAUCAAAUAGGCUUUAAAAUGUUUUAUACCAGCUUUUUAACAUUCUGGUUUUAUCAAAGAACCCACAUAUUAUCCCUAUUAAGCUAUUUUCCCAAUAACUGAAAUUCUG
Long non-coding RNA from Paramormyrops kingsleyae, 731 nucleotides. RefSeq lists it as uncharacterized. Lineage: Eukaryota; Metazoa; Chordata; Actinopteri; Osteoglossiformes; Mormyridae. The record is from RefSeq and is a predicted model, not a curated record.